RNAcentral lists this ribosomal RNA (3086 nucleotides) under Salmonella enterica. Its description in RNAcentral is "23S ribosomal RNA". It matches the Rfam family "Bacterial large subunit ribosomal RNA". Lineage: Bacteria; Pseudomonadati; Pseudomonadota; Gammaproteobacteria; Enterobacterales; Enterobacteriaceae. The record is from RNAcentral.
GGUUAAGCGACUAAGCGUACACGGUGGAUGCCCUGGCAGUCAGAGGCGAUGAAGGGCGUGCUAAUCUGCGAUAAGCGCCGGUAAGGUGAUAUGAACCGUUAUAACCGGCGAUACCCGAAUGGGGAAACCCAGUGUGACUCGUCACACUAUCAUUAACUGAAUCCAUAGGUUAAUGAGGCGAACCGGGGGAACUGAAACAUCUAAGUACCCCGAGGAAAAGAAAUCAACCGAGAUUCCCCCAGUAGCGGCGAGCGAACGGGGAGGAGCCCAGAGCCUGAAUCAGCAUGUGUGUUAGUGGAAGCGUCUGGAAAGGCGCGCGAUACAGGGUGACAGCCCCGUACACAAAAGCGCAUGUGCUGUGAGCUCGAUGAGUAGGGCGGGACACGUGGUAUCCUGUCUGAAUAUGGGGGGACCAUCCUCCAAGGCUAAAUACUCCUGACUGACCGAUAGUGAACCAGUACCGUGAGGGAAAGGCGAAAAGAACCCCGGCGAGGGGAGUGAAAAAGAACCUGAAACCGUGUACGUACAAGCAGUGGGAGCCCCACCACUAAGCCAGUGGUGAACUCCACAUACGCAUCCUUUGCUGAGGAUACGGUUAACGGAGCGAAAGCGACGUUCAACCUCAAAAGAAGCAGAGGGGGCUUAGUGGUGGGGUGACUGCGUACCUUUUGUAUAAUGGGUCAGCGACUUAUAUUCUGUAGCAAGGUUAACCGAAUAGGGGAGCCGGAGGGAAACCGAGUCUUAACCGGGCGUUAAGUUGCAGGGUAUAGACCCGAAACCCGGUGAUCUAGCCAUGGGCAGGUUGAAGGUUGGGUAACACUAACUGGAGGACCGAACCGACUAAUGUUGAAAAAUUAGCGGAUGACCUGUGGCUGGGGGUGAAAGGCCAAUCAAACCGGGAGAUAGCUGGUUCUCCCCGAAAGCUAUUUAGGUAGCGCCUCGUGAAUUCAUCUCCGGGGGUAGAGCACUGUUUCGGCUAGGGGGCCAUCCCGGCUUACCAACCCGAUGCAAACUGCGAAUACCGGAGAAUGUUAUCACGGGAGACACACGGCGGGUGCUAACGUCCGUCGUGAAGAGGGAAACAACCCAGACCGCCAGCUAAGGUCCCAAAGUCAUGGUUAAGUGGGAAACGAUGUGGGAAGGCCCAGACAGCCAGGAUGUUGGCUUAGAAGCAGCCAUCAUUUAAAGAAAGCGUAAUAGCUCACUGGUCGAGUCGGCCUGCGCGGAAGAUGUAACGGGGCUAAACCAUGCACCGAAGCUGCGGCAGCGAACGUAUCACUUAAAGCGAUUCAGCGGAUGACGAUUGACGGAGCGAAGCGACGUCAAAGCGUAUACAAAGUCGAGUCGGUUUAAGGAUACGUUCGUUGGGUAGGGGAGCGUUCUGUAAGCCUGUGAAGGUGUGUCGUGAGGCAUGCUGGAGGUAUCAGAAGUGCGAAUGCUGACAUAAGUAACGAUAAAGCGGGUGAAAAGCCCGCUCGCCGGAAGACCAAGGGUUCCUGUCCAACGUUAAUCGGGGCAGGGUGAGUCGACCCCUAAGGCGAGGCCGAAAGGCGUAGUCGAUGGGAAACGGGUUAAUAUUCCCGUACUUGGUGUUACUGCGAAGGGGGGACGGAGAAGGCUAUGUUGGCCGGGCGACGGUUGUCCCGGUUUAAGCGUGUAGGCUGGUUUUCCAGGCAAAUCCGGAAAAUCAAGGCUGAGGCGUGACGACGAGGCACUACGGUGCUGAAGCAACAAAUGCCCUGCUUCCAGGAAAAGCCUCUAAGCAUCAGGUAACAUCAAAUCGUACCCCAAACCGACACAGGUGGUCAGGUAGAGAAUACCAAGGCGCUUGAGAGAACUCGGGUGAAGGAACUAGGCAAAAUGGUGCCGUAACUUCGGGAGAAGGCACGCUGACACGUAGGUGAAGUGAUUUACUCAUGGAGCUGAAGUCAGUCGAAGAUACCAGCUGGCUGCAACUGUUUAUUAAAAACACAGCACUGUGCAAACACGAAAGUGGACGUAUACGGUGUGACGCCUGCCCGGUGCCGGAAGGUUAAUUGAUGGGGUCAGCGCAAGCGAAGCUCCUGAUCGAAGCCCCGGUAAACGGCGGCCGUAACUAUAACGGUCCUAAGGUAGCGAAAUUCCUUGUCGGGUAAGUUCCGACCUGCACGAAUGGCGUAAUGAUGGCCAGGCUGUCUCCACCCGAGACUCAGUGAAAUUGAACUCGCUGUGAAGAUGCAGUGUACCCGCGGCAAGACGGAAAGACCCCGUGAACCUUUACUAUAGCUUGACACUGAACAUUGAGCCUUGAUGUGUAGGAUAGGUGGGAGGCUUUGAAGCGUGGACGCCAGUCUGCGUGGAGCCGACCUUGAAAUACCACCCUUUAAUGUUUGAUGUUCUAACGUGGACCCGUAAUCCGGGUUGCGGACAGUGUCUGGUGGGUAGUUUGACUGGGGCGGUCUCCUCCUAAAGAGUAACGGAGGAGCACGAAGGUUGGCUAAUCCUGGUCGGACAUCAGGAGGUUAGUGCAAUGGCAUAAGCCAGCUUGACUGCGAGCGUGACGGCGCGAGCAGGUGCGAAAGCAGGUCAUAGUGAUCCGGUGGUUCUGAAUGGAAGGGCCAUCGCUCAACGGAUAAAAGGUACUCCGGGGAUAACAGGCUGAUACCGCCCAAGAGUUCAUAUCGACGGCGGUGUUUGGCACCUCGAUGUCGGCUCAUCACAUCCUGGGGCUGAAGUAGGUCCCAAGGGUAUGGCUGUUCGCCAUUUAAAGUGGUACGCGAGCUGGGUUUAGAACGUCGUGAGACAGUUCGGUCCCUAUCUGCCGUGGGCGCUGGAGAACUGAGGGGGGCUGCUCCUAGUACGAGAGGACCGGAGUGGACGCAUCACUGGUGUUCGGGUUGUCAUGCCAAUGGCACUGCCCGGUAGCUAAAUGCGGAAGAGAUAAGUGCUGAAAGCAUCUAAGCACGAAACUUGCCCCGAGAUGAGUUCUCCCUGAGACUUAGAGUCUCCUGAAGGAACGUUGAAGACGACGACGUUGAUAGGCCGGGUGUGUAAGCGCAGCGAUGCGUUGAGCUAACCGGUACUAAUGAACCGUGAGGCUUAACCUU